Molecule: ribosomal RNA, 371 nt
Filed under: Isopoda sp. Isopod-2.ab2
Lineage: Eukaryota; Metazoa; Arthropoda; Malacostraca; Isopoda
Description: partial large subunit ribosomal RNA
Source: RNAcentral
AGUUGUGCUAAGGUAGUGUAGUAAUUUUUCCUUAAUUGGAAACUUGGAUGAACGGCUGACAAGAUACCUCCUAUAUCAAUGCAACAGUUAAAACUUGUAAUCUAGGUCAAAAUGCCUUCUGGUAUUAUAGGGACGAAAGACCCUCCGAACAUAUUAUAUCAAGAUGGAUCUCUUGACAUAUUUCAACUGGGGGCGUGUAUUAAUAUUAACAAAGUUACGUUUUAAAAUGUAUGGUCAUAAUAAGCAUAAAUUUUAGACAAUGGAGAAUUAAGUUACCCCAGGGAUAACAGCGUUGUAUAUCCAGAAGGCCCAUAUCUAAGCAUGAUUUUGCGACCUCGAUGUUGAAUUAAAUAUACCUCUUGGAGCAGAAA